AGAGUUUGAUCCUGGCUCAGAAUCAACGCUGGCGGCGUGCCUAACACAUGCAAGUCGAACGAGAAAGUGGAGCAAUCCAUGAGUAAAGUGGCGACCGGGUGAGUAACACGUGACUAACCUACCUUCGAGUGGGGGAUAACCUCGGGAAACCGGGGCCAAUACCGCAUAAUGCCUUUGGGUUAAAGGAGCAAUUCGCUUGAAGAGGGGGUCGCGGCCGAUUAGGUAGUUGGCGGGGUAACGGCCCACCAAGCCAGUGAUCGGUAGCCGGCCUGAGAGGGCGCACGGCCACACUGGAACUGAAACACGGUCCAGACUCCUACGGGAGGCAGCAGUGGGGAAUUUUGCGCAAUGGGGGAAACCCUGACGCAGCAACGCCGCGUGGAGGAUGAAGUCCCUUGGGACGUAAACUCCUUUCGACCGGGACGAUGAUGACGGUACCGGUGGAAGAAGCCCCGGCUAACUUCGUGCCAGCAGCCGCGGUAAUACGAGGGGGGCAAGCGUUGUUCGGAAUUAUUGGGCGUAAAGGGCGCGUAGGCGGUGCGGUAAGUCACCUGUGAAACCUCUAGGCUCAACCCAGAGGCUGCUUCCAAAACUGCUGUGCUUGAGUGUGGGAGAGGCGCGUGGAAUUGCAGGUGUAGCGGUGAAAUGCGUAGAUAUCUGCAGGAACACCCGUGGCGAAAGCGGCGCGCUGGACCACAACUGACGCUGAGGAACGAAAGCUAGGGGAGCAAACAGGAUUAGAUACCCUGGUAGUCC
This 756-nucleotide ribosomal RNA is filed under the name uncultured bacterium. RNAcentral describes it as "bacterial SSU rRNA". It matches the Rfam family "Bacterial small subunit ribosomal RNA", at positions 8 to 796 of the family's 1533-position model. The record is from RNAcentral.